Molecule: ribosomal RNA, 114 nt
Filed under: Candidatus Acetithermum autotrophicum
Lineage: Bacteria; Candidatus Bipolaricaulota
Source: RNAcentral
GGUGGCCCAACAGCGGCGGGGAAACACCCGUUCCCAUCCCGAACACGGCCGUUAAGCCCGCCCGCGCCGAUGGUAGUGGGCUCGUGAGGGCCCGCAAGAGUAGGUCGCCGCCUG